CGGGGUGUAGCGCAGUGGUAGCGCGCGCGCUUUGGGAGCGUGAGGUCGCAGGUUCGACCCCUGUCACCCCGACCA
Molecule: transfer RNA, 75 nt
Filed under: Chloroflexota bacterium
Lineage: Bacteria; Bacillati; Chloroflexota
Description: tRNA-Pro
Rfam family: tRNA
About the family: Transfer RNA (tRNA) molecules are approximately 80 nucleotides in length. Their secondary structure includes four short double-helical elements and three loops (D, anti-codon, and T loops).
Source: RNAcentral